AGUUUGAUCCUGGCUCAGAUUGAACGCUGGCGGCAUGCCUAACACAUGCAAGUCGAACGGAAACGAUGGGAGCUUGCUCCCAGGCGUCGAGUGGCGGACGGGUGAGUAAUACUUAGGAAUCUGCCCAUUAGUGGGGGACAACUAGAAGAAAUUCUAGCUAAUACCGCAUACGCCCUACGGGGGAAAGCGGGGGAUCUUCGGACCUCGCGCUAAUGGAUGAGCCUAAGUCGGAUUAGCUUGUUGGUGAGGUAAUGGCUCACCAAGGCGACGAUCCGUAGCUGGUCUGAGAGGACGAUCAGCCACACUGGGACUGAGACACGGCCCAGACUCCUACGGGAGGCAGCAGUGGGGAAUAUUGCACAAUUGGCGCAAGCCUGAUGCAGCAAUGCCGCGGUGGUGUGAAGAAGGCCCUGCGGGGUUGUAAAGCACUUUUCAGGUGGAGAAAGAAAAAGCCCUAGGGGUUAAUA
RNAcentral lists this ribosomal RNA (467 nucleotides) under uncultured Pseudomonas sp. Its description in RNAcentral is "bacterial SSU rRNA". It matches the Rfam family "Bacterial small subunit ribosomal RNA", at positions 10 to 471 of the family's 1533-position model. The record is from RNAcentral. Lineage: Bacteria; Pseudomonadati; Pseudomonadota; Gammaproteobacteria; Pseudomonadales; Pseudomonadaceae.